AAAUCAUUUGCCAGCUGUCCUACAUCCCUGGGGAAGAGAAGAAGGAGGGUAGCUCUUGCUUUCCUUAAGAUGUUUGUGGCUUGUUCCUAUGCACGGUCUCAUCAUUAUUUUGUUACAGUAUUUAUCCUCAGCUAUAUCGUGAUAGGAGAAAAAGCAUGAGAAGGAAAAGGAAAAAAAAAAUCGAAGGUUUCUAGUUUGGGAUCUGGAGGAGGUUUCACAUCUUGAGUUGCUUUUCAGGAUUUCAGAAAUGUUGUUUUCCCAGAAGAAACAAAAAGCCCUUGUAGUAUGGGGAUGAGUAGUGGAGAAGUGAAAGAGAGAAGGCUGGUAACUAUGGCAGUCACCUGGGACCCUGCUCUGCCAUUUUCCUCUGAUCGAGUGACCUUGGUACAGAAAAUGGCUCUUCUAGAACAGUGCUCUCCUCUAUGGAGAAGCCAGGGCUGAGCUGAAGCGAGAGGCAGAGCCGCGCGUUGAUUUUUGUUUCCAUAAACUUACUGAGGAACGGCAUGCAACUUUGGUGCACAUGUGAUUAAACUAAUCUAGUUAAAAUCAGAAAAGGAUUUCUCAUAAUUCAAUUGGAGUUGUUUUUAAUGUUUGGACUUUGGUCAAGGACAGCUUUAUUGAUUGAAUUUAAUUGCAUAUAUUUUCCUGUCCAUUUAUUGAAGCCUAUUUUUCAAGUCACUUGAGAGGCUGCUAACAUUUCAGAAAGGGGAUAUGCCAAAGCAUUGCUUUAAUUCAUUAUCUUUUGGACAUACGGUAGUUGCUACUUGGCCCGAAUUAAAUCCGUUAGAGAAUGUGAUAGCAUAAUUACUUACAGGUAUCCAAAACUGCUUUUAACCGAAUUCUCUAGGAGGUUAUACAUAAGAUUUGCGUUGCCCUUACAUUGAAUGCAAAUGUCUGGGAUUUCAAUGAUAAAUAAAUACUUCAGCAACCGAGGACAGAUUUUUCUUGUUUCCAUAUGUUGCUGAUGGACUAAAAAUCUUGUGAGGUCUUUAUUUUUCCUCAGUAUAAAAAAUAGAAGUCUUUUACAAAUUAGUUCAGUAACUCUUUCAAAAUGUAUAAACAUAAUGACCCUUGAGGUAAAAAAGAAACAGUCUGUGAUUUUGACUUGCUUUAUUCUUUCGAACCGUGCUCAAUUCUCAGAGAUUUUCUAGACAAAACUGCACAUUAGCUAGAUUACUUCACAGCGCGUUCCAAUGACAUCAAGUCUAUCAACUUCCAAAAGUUAAUGUCAUCCUGCCUCAAAUCCCAGGCCAGUGCUUGAUGUUCCCAGACUGGAAGGAUGGCUCCCAUGGACUGGAAAUUGCUGUAGGAGAGGGCAGAAGCUGUGUUACCCCACGGGCAGCACUGUGGAGGGAGCACUGCUCCUGGUAGCUCUGUCCCUGCUGUCCAUACCUCCUUCCUACAUUCUUUUAUACUCCAUCACAUCUUCCUGCCUUCAAGACUUCCUCAGUCUAGCAAAGAAAUGGUGUGCAUGUGUGUCUUUAAGUACAUGGGAGCUGUUGCUGGCUGUCAUGGACCUGUCCAAGUGUUGGGCUUAGUUCUCUCUGUGCUGAUUGUAACUGGCAUCAUCUUGGUGUUUAUGAAAACUGGAAGUGGCAAGAGUUGUAGCUAAUACAGUUGUGUUCAUUAAUAAUGGAUCUAAGCAGAAAAUGUAAAUCUAACUACAAAACCUCUGACAUGAAGUGUUUUUUAGGUAUCCGACUACUUUAUAGGGGGGUGUAUAAGACCAGACUUGAUUUAGCUCUGAAAACCACAAAUUGGACACAGUUCAGGCUUCAACUCUUUCCCAAUUAAGAAAGCACAAUGCUUCUUGAAGUGAGGGAAAUGCUCCCCCAAAGAGCCCAGGUUUUCACUUCUCCUUACAUUAGCUGUGCAGCUAACAAGCACAGCUGAAGUGCCUGAUGUCUGCAGUACCUCUCCUCCCUGCAGAACACCUGACAUUUAAAUAUUGUCUAACCCACAAAAGUUUUGCUCAGGAAUCCAGUGAUGGUAUCUGAUUAAAAAAAAACACAAGGAAUUCCUUUCACGAGGAGCUGAACUGCAGAUGGUUAUGUGAUUUGAGGGCCACUGAACAUCAACAGUUUCACCAACUGAAUCGGAAUUACAGAAACACCUGCAUGACUGCAUCUGCAGACUCAGCUAAAUUAUGCUUCCAUCCAGCCACAUGACAUCUAACGCAUAAUUCUUCUGCAUUUUAAUCAAAUGCAUUAUAAUGUCAGUAUAAGAUUUCAAUAUGAAUGCACCUUAAUGUAAGAGUAACUAACGGCUGCCAUCCAUUAGUACCAGUUAAGAGACAUACUUCCUACCAGGCAAUGAGGGCACGGCCAUUUUAACUCAUUAUCUGAUUUGUGAAUUACAUCCCAUUGCACACGAAGGGGAUGCUCACAGGACGCUGGUGGGGAUGCAAGAUCGAGCGUGCAAAGUCAGGAAAUGUUUGAAGGGAGGCUGCAGGGCAGGGUUCUCAACCCCCUGCAGUGAGACAGGUUUGUGUGCGCUACCAAGCGGGGUCGGGUCCCUACAAAACCUGCAUGAGUCUGGCAACUUAAUGCUUAAAGAACUUCUAUCGAGCACGUGCAAACUCUGAACUUGUAAAGGCUUUUCAGAUUUGAUAGAUUUUCAAGGCUACAGUGAAGCAUCUCUUAAGAAAUGGCUGAUGUAGGCCAAUCUCCCAGUUAUUGCUUCAGACCAUGAUGUCGACAGGGCUUUUCAAGGACAAACUGCCAGAAACACUGAAACAUUUUUUUUCUAGUGCCUUUUUUUAGAGAUAGAUGAAUUGGCUCGGAUGAAAAGAAUUCCAGAAAGAAAUCAGCCUGACAAAAACAUGAAGUGUGGGGAAUGUCCUCUAAUUGCUAAUACCUGGUGAAGUUAUGAGUGCUGAAAAUCAACUUUUAAACAGGAAGCAUUGGUCAGCCUUGGGUGACAGAAAACACUGUGAGUUACCGCUUGCUGAACUUGCUGAAUGUGCCAGUUGGCUUUUUCAUAAGAUGUGCCUAUGGUUUGGCCUUCAGAAACGUGUCCCAAUGCCCGUGGACUGAAUUCAAUAGACUUUUGCUGUUAUAUGUGCUUCUGCCCGUAGUGUAGUUCAGUUUGGGGCCAGAUCUUCUGGAAAACGGAUACUGUCGUAUCAUGUUACUCCUUUAUUGGCACAUUCAUACUUCUAGGACCAGUAAAACAAGCCUGAAAGCAUACAGUGAGGUAGAAAGUGAAGACUUAAACUAAGUAAAUUUGUUCUUGAGAGGCUGGUAUUGAAAUACAGUGCUUCCUGCCCAUGUUUGGCUUUACUUUAGUUCAUUGGUCCCUAGUGCGCCCAGAAUUAUAGCUCAGCAAACAUCACCAAGCAUCAUACAUUAAAAAAAAACAAAUCCACCUGAAAAAUCUCUCAGGUGUGGCUUAAAGGCAGAAAACCUCCUGGGCAAAGAAACUGACAGACCAUACCUUGACUUGGUCAUUUCCCCUUUCAGAUGUGGACACAUGUUCAGUACAAAUUACUCUGAAAUGAGUCAUUAUUUUCCUAUGGCUAACAAAUAAUAAUGAUUCAACAUUUGCAUGUCCCUGAAUUGCAGUGGAGUGGGAUUACAGAUGGUACAAGAUGCAUUAGUUUUACAAAACAUAUUGAAGAUUUCAACUUUGUAACGGAAACUGUUCUGUCUUCACUUAACUUAUAUGCAUGUGAAUACCAGCAUAGUGGGGAGCCUGGAGAUAUGAGAACCACUAAAGAUGCAGAAAAAGGUAUGCAGAAGUAAAAUGCAAACUUUCAGAUCUCAGCUUUGCAUUCAGUUUCAUAAGAACUGACCAGCAAAGGUCCAACCAUCCUGCCCAGAAAGUCUAUGGUGGAGCCCCAGACAGAACCCAAAUUGUGUUCAUACGUUAAGUCCCACUGGCAAGCAUUAGUGGGAGCUGCAAUCACAUAUGGAUGUGUGAAAAGCCUCAGUGAGAGCUCUGUAAGGUAGUGUGUGACUGUGCAGAGCCACGGUAAAAUAAUCUACAGGGAGAAACCUUGAAGAAUGCUGUGGAUAAAUCAAAUAAUUUAAAGAAACUGCCAGGUGAUGGAGGUUAAAAAUGAAACAGGGAAAUAAAAGCAGUGAUGGAGUCCAUUCACUGCACUGAACAGUAAACAAGAACUUGUCUUUAGAAAUUAAGCGGCCAAGAUCUUCAGAAAUGUUUCAUUGCUGAGCUCUCUAACUUAGAGAGAACAUCAGCAUGAUACAACAGCAAGGGGCCAGCAGCCAGAAGUCCCAGGUACCUCUGCACCUCUCCUGUCAGAAGGAAACUUCUCCCAGAGCAACAGCAGUCACAGCUUGCAAAAUCCCUCCUCACUUCUGCCAACGCUGACCACUGCAGCUGCAUAAAUAAAUGCUAAGGGACAUCUUUUGCUUACUUAAAGCAAGAGGACCUACUGAAAGAUAUAAAGGGCUAAGAACUUUACCCUGUUUCCUAAGAAUUUUGUUUCUUUGCUUUACUAUUACUCUAUAGUCUAAACAGAAAUAAAGGACAUGGCAAAAAGGUCUCGCUGACAAGGCAUGAGUUGAGAAAAGCUCUGAUCAGUAUUGCUCUGCUGAAGAAUACAGUACAUGAAAUGGUGGCAGCUCUGCAAUAGGUCAGUGAUAAUGAUGCUCCUGAGGUUAUGCUACACUGACAGCAACCAUAUAAAUGUCAAAGCCUUGCAGAAUCUCCCUGGGAAAGGCUUCCUGCUACCUGACAAGCCUCCGGCAGCCAUUCUGCUGGGCAACAAAAAUCUCUAAAGAGUUUGUUCUCUUUUUGCAGGCAAACUUCAGGAUUUUCCCUGAAGCCAUUGCCUAGUUUGAAAUCCCGCCGUGGUUUGGAGGAUACCAGUCUCGUUUACACUUAGAUGAAAGAACAAAACCUUUCCUGACAGUUGCACAUAGGUGUAAUGAACAAUGAAAUCAUCAGUUAACAGAGCAGACAGCAAACACUGCUGGAGGGUUUUGGUGAUAAGAGCCCCUAUGAACAACCGAAACUGGAGGAAUAUGGAAUGGAUGAUAAGUAAAUAACGUGUAUAAAUCAAACCUGACUGCAAUCACAAUCACUGGUUUCUAUUCCUUGUUCUGGUCCCCAUCAGCCACCUGAAUUGGAAGUUCUUACAGAGUUCUGUGUGUCCGUGUGCGUCUCACUGGCUUCAAAUUCAGGUGCAAAUUGUUCCAGCAAUACUGCUCUGGUACAUCUGAGGCAAAGCAAUCCAUAAGACUGACAGUGAAAGCUCUUAUCUUGUGAGAUGUCCUUUUCCAAUGGUCACUGACCAAUAGCCAACCUAUUAAUCACGGUAAACCAAGUUUGUUGGGUCCGUGUUGGCCAAAGCACUUGAGAAAAGACAAAAGGCAUCGUGUUCCAGCUGGCACCUGCAAGUAAUUACACAUGGCGAUAGAGGUACGCAAAAGAACAUUUUGAGAACUGAUGCUAAGAAGAAAGGUUCAUUUCUUUUUGGAACAGACUGAACUAUUUUCUGAUCUCUAGGUGCCUUAGGGUCUUAGAAAUCAAAGUAAAUAAAAUCACUUGCCAGAUGUUCAUCUGGAAAAGUGACAGAUCUCGAGUUACUUUUCACCAGUUCUGGAAGCUGAUUCCACUUCCCACACGAUGCUGUAUUUUAUAAGGCUAUUUUAUCAGCAGUGGUGCAGGGCAAAUGCUCCAAAAUCAUAAGAAAACUGAAUCUGGGGGUCCACCAUUUUCCCAAAGCAUCUUAUCUCCCUACCACCACAUCUUUGGUCUGUCUCUGAUGUCUGAGGAUAUCAGGACACAUACGAUGCAAAGUAAAAGCCAGACAUGCAGUUUUAGGAGAAUCUAACAUGUGGUGGCUGACUCUUUCCUGAAAACAUCCUGAAGAAUGGAAGGAAGAAGAUAAGAAGAUGAUUCCUCUGGACAGUACCAGGCAGACAUGGCCAGAGUUUCACUUCUGGAAGAUAAACUAUCCCCAUCAGACCACUUUCCAUUGAAAGAAAGGAGGAAGACCAAUUUAUGAUCACAGCUUGAGAAAUAAGUCUCCUUCAUAUCAUACCACCUCAUCCUGGAUCUGACAGUUGUUUCAAAGAUAAAGAAAUCCCUCAGACUGCACCUCUCCCAGCAAAUCAUUUCAGCUUGUGUUUCAUUUUAACUUUCUGAGUCGAUCAGUGGGACAAUUUCCUGCGUAGAGUUAAUUGCCAGCACCACUGCAAGCUCAAAAAGGCAGGUCAGCAGCCACUGGAUUGAUCCCUGCCUAAGUCCUUGAGACCAUCUAGCUGUCCAGGCUCUGCUGUCACUGAUGUUCCUGUGCCCUCCCAACUUUUGGCAUCUGAGUUACCAUUUAAUAAUGCUGCCCAAUGUCAUUUUUUGCUUUGUCUUUUUACUGAAUUACCAGUAUCUCUGGUCACCUCCAUCUGUAACAAUGGUAGAAACAACUGACACCUGGUAGUUACGCUUUGUGGGCUAACAAGUUUAAGAGCAGAAAGGGUCAUGUUGAGCUUUUACUCUGACCUCCUACACAGAAUCAGCCCAUGCUUUUUGAUUUUACAGCAUUUAGAUCCCAGUUUUCAUCUCACCCAGCAGGUAUUUAGGCAAAGUUGAGCUGUGCUAGUCUGAAGAUGCUACAAAUGAAGGAAAUCAGAUGAAGCCUCUGCUUCUCUCCCUUCUGCAAUACACUGAGCUAGGACCAGAUGCACGGUGUGGUGGUAUUGUAGAGCCUCCAAAUGUUUUAUGAUUGAUCGUGUUUUUGGCAGUUCUUGAGCUUUUCAGAGGGAGGAGAGAGGAACAUGAUUGUAGAAAGCAAAGGAUGCAUAGGAUACGUGUCUGGGAACUGCUGAGGCAGGUAUGUGAGGUCACAGAGGCCAGGAGCUGUGUGAGCAGCAGGACAAGUAACUAUCAGCAUUUUCUCAUGGGAAUAGAUUGCUGAGGCAGUGCUGCUUCAGAGAAAGAGGUCUGGGGUGAACUUUCAGCCUCGCGUUCUGUCUGUGACCUGCUCUGAUCUAGGACUGUCUUAUUCACACUGCAAAUAAAAGAGAAUUCUAGGCAGGAGAUUCCCCGGUCUGCAGUCACUGCUUCCCAGGCUCCAGGAACCAGCUUCUUCCAGCCAGCAGGCAGCAAG
This is a long non-coding RNA of Lagopus muta (rock ptarmigan), 7072 nucleotides long. RefSeq lists it as uncharacterized. The transcript is spliced from 3 exons. The record is from RefSeq and is a predicted model, not a curated record. Lineage: Eukaryota; Metazoa; Chordata; Aves; Galliformes; Phasianidae.